RNAcentral lists this ribosomal RNA (389 nucleotides) under uncultured bacterium. RNAcentral's name for it is "partial 16S ribosomal RNA". It matches the Rfam family "Bacterial small subunit ribosomal RNA", at positions 523 to 914 of the family's 1533-position model. The record is from RNAcentral.
AUACGGAGGAUGCGAGCGUUAUCCGGAUUUAUUGGGUUUAAAGGGUGCGUAGGCUGUGCGUUAAGUCAGGGGUGAAAUGCCGUCGCUCAACGACGGAGCUGCCCUUGAUACUGGCGUGCUGGAGUACGGAUGCCGUUGGAGGAAUGAGUGGUGUAGCGGUGAAAUGCUUAGAUAUCACUCAGAACACCGAUUGCGAAGGCAUCUGACGAAUCCGUCACUGACGCUGAGGCACGAAAGCGUGGGGAUAGAACAGGAUUAGAUACCCUGGUAUUCCACGCCGUAAACGAUGAUGACUAACCGUCGGCGAUAGACAGCCGGUGGCCAAGCGAAAGCGAUAAGUCAUCCACCUGGGGAGUACGUCGGCAACGAUGAAACUCAAAGGAAUUGAC